UGAAAUCCUUCGUGGGGCUGACAUGAGAGGGAAGGAAGGAAACACCCUUCUGAAAAACAUUAGUCUCAAAGACGGGAAUGGCGAUUGCUUCAGCUCUCUCCAUGAAGGGUCACUUCCUCUCUUGCUCACCUCUCCCCAUCUCCUCUCCAGCCUCAUCAAACACUUCCGUACCUUCCCAUCUCUCUCCAUCUUCUUCUUCUUCUUCAGCUCCUGCUAAGAAAGCCCAUCAUUUGAAGCUCCGGACAAGCAGUGUUAUCCCAAGAGCAUCUUCCGAAGGGGGUUCUAUUCCUGCCGAGUUGAUCGAAGAUUCAAAGUUUGUGCCCUUAAAUGUGGAAGAUCCCCAAUACGGUCCACCUGCUUUGUUGUUUUUGGGUUUUGAGCUGGAGGAGGUACCGAAGAUCAAACUACUUCUGAAAGAGAUGGAUGGUGAAUUCCUACAGAUCAUUUAUUGUACGGAAGACAUGAUCAACCGUUCACUUUGGGAAGCAGUUCAUAUUAGACAAUCCGAUCUAAAUCAGGUUAAGAUCGCAAAGCAACUUCCUCGUAUCUGCUUUCUCUCGGGCCUAAGUGGGGAGGAGAUGAUGAUGUUCAUCGAUGCCUUUCCCGAGACUGGUACGAGAUCUUCCUUAAGCAGAGCUGGUGGCCUUUGUUUUUUCUUUUCCAGGAAAACUAGGAAAAGUUCUUCCAGUUUUCUGUCUCUCUUUGAAUGAUGAAAACAAGGAUUAGAACCAGCAGUAUUUGCAGCUCUCGUGCCCAAUAGUGCUGAUAAACCCCUUCAAGAACUGAUAGAAGAAAUCAUGGGCGACCAUGAAACGCUGACUGGAAAUCAACCAGGUUCACAAUAAGCACGCCCAGCCGAAGUCCUUUGUGAAGUGAUAUCUCGACGGUUUUGUCCAUAAUUCCAGGAGGAGCCAAUACUUUAUCACGGAAGUCGAAAACCAGUAAAGAAGAGAUUGUGGUACAAGAGCUAAAUACAUAUAAUAAGCCUCUGCUUGUUUGUUGUAGGAAUCUUCAAUCAUAAUCACUUUCUGGGAUGUCCUUAGAUUAUAUUACUGUACAGGAGAUCAGGUUCUACAAGAAGGGAAUGUGCUACAUAGCCUUGUUUUGCAAACUACAUUCUCUAAGCUAAAAGAUCACCUUGCCCGGCAUUUCUCCCACCGGAAUGCCUCUGGAGACUUGAAUUACCAUCUAUAAUGUGACAUUCUCCA
Molecule: non-coding RNA, 1208 nt
Organism: Punica granatum (pomegranate)
Lineage: Eukaryota; Viridiplantae; Streptophyta; Magnoliopsida; Myrtales; Lythraceae
Source: RefSeq, a predicted model, not a curated record